This 435-nucleotide ribosomal RNA is filed under the name uncultured bacterium. RNAcentral's name for it is "bacterial SSU rRNA". It matches the Rfam family "Bacterial small subunit ribosomal RNA", at positions 958 to 1392 of the family's 1533-position model. The record is from RNAcentral.
AACGCGAAGAACCUUACCAAAUCUUGACAUCCUUUGAAAACUCUAGAGAUAGAGCUUUCCCCUUCGGGGGACAAAGUGACAGGUGGUGCAUGGUUGUCGUCAGCUCGUGUCGUGAGAUGUUGGGUUAAGUCCCGCAACGAGCGCAACCCUUAAGCUUAGUUGCCAUCAUUAAGUUGGGCACUCUAGGUUGACUGCCGGUGACAAACCGGAGGAAGGUGGGGAUGACGUCAAAUCAUCAUGCCCCUUAUGAUUUGGGCUACACACGUGCUACAAUGGACAAUACAAAGGGCAGCUAAACCGCGAGGUCAUGCAAAUCCCAUAAAGUUGUUCUCAGUUCGGAUUGUAGUCUGCAACUCGACUACAUGAAGCUGGAAUCGCUAGUAAUCGUAGAUCAGCAUGCUACGGUGAAUACGUUCCCGGGUCUUGUACACACCG